Cucurbita maxima (winter squash) is the source of this 1449-nucleotide long non-coding RNA. RefSeq lists it as uncharacterized. The record is from RefSeq and is a predicted model, not a curated record. NCBI's taxonomy places the organism in Eukaryota, Viridiplantae, Streptophyta, Magnoliopsida, Cucurbitales, Cucurbitaceae. The transcript is spliced from 2 exons.
AUUAUCAUUAUUUUACUCAUAUAUUUGGUUAAAUGCCUAAACUGGAAUUGCAGUUGUUUUGUUCUUUCUUAAAGAAACAAAUUUCAUUUGCAAGUGUGGUCUUGUUAUGUACUCAAACACAAGAACACAACACAAAAUAAAAAGAUAACUAUGUUGCAAUAUCAAUAGAGAAACUGCAGUAUCAAUAGCCUUUUGAGAGAGCUAUCUCUCUCUCAAGUCUCACAAUGGACACGCUCACCAAAAUGAUCUCCUUCUAAGUAUUCUCACAUUACUCUGCCCUUCAAACACUAUCGGAUAAAGCUUGCUUGAAAUCAGUGUAUGUACAAGACAAUCCCAAAAUUGGGUAACAUUUUUUUUCAUUGCAUACACAUACCCUAACCCCAUUCUUAUGGAUAGAAUCACACCAAGACGGGUUGGGUUCAGGGUUUAACAUAUGGAACAACCUGGCCCAAAAUACACUUGCAUACUUCUCAUUCAAAAUUACGCCUCUUCAUGCAAAUCCAGCCCAUAAACCAAACUAGGGUUGAUGCUGCAACCUUUUCCAAUUGCUGACCCCACCACCUAACACUUCUUUUGCGUUAAUUUCUCGAGGUUGUAAAUGAGGUAUUAUUCAAAUGAAGAUUGGUUCAAGAUUCAGUCUUACAUUAUUAGGAUGAUUUAAUAUUCUUUGAGUUUUCUUGACAACCAAAUAUAGUAGGAUUAAGCCAUUUUCGUGAUAUGCAAAAGUUGGCCCGGAUAUUCACGGGUACCAGAAGAAGUUCCACACUAUACUAUACAUUCCUAGGCUUCCAAAACGUGCACUAUCAGUAUAAUUUUCCUGAAUACAGGCUUCUUAAACCUAGAUUUCCAUAACUAGAAUCUCUACAGUUUUCCUAAACCAUAGCUCAAGAUUGCUGAAUCAGCACCCUAAAUGUAGGUUUCCUAAACCAAGGCAUCUUCAACCCAGCGCUUAAAAGGCUUAGACAUGAACCCAAGUUUAAGAUGUCAAACCUGCGCCCCUACCCAGGUUUGCAGGCCUGUCUCCCAGGGCCCAUCAAAUUUAUAGUCAGGCCAGCAUUCUCCAUUUCAAACUUAUAUUUAUAUUUAGACGCCAUGAUUUCUUGCCCAGUGGUGAUUUGACUGUACUAGAAUGCAUUGGCAACGUGAUAUAUUGCCCUUCUCUAGUGAGGAAAAAAAGGGUACGGGGUGCAGUAUGAGGCAUUCUGAAAAUGGAAAUUGUAGGGAAAUUGAGUAAAAGAUUGUUUGGAUUAGGGAUUGUAAUCUUUUGACAGGAAACAAAAAUUGUGCUGAUGAAAACAGGAAAAAUAAAAAUAAAAAUGCUGAAACCUUGUGAUUUUUCCUUGUGUUUAUCCUUUUUUUUUUAUGAACUAGAAAAACUUUUCAUAUUAUCAAUUAAAAGGAAAUGUUCAGGCAACAAACUCCCACGGAAGAGAUGGGAAGGGGAAGAGG